GAUGAACGCUGGCGGCGUGCCUAAUACAUGCAAGUCGAGCGAACAGACGAGGAGCUUGCUCCUCUGACGUUAGCGGCGGACGGGUGAGUAACACGUGGAUAACCUACCUAUAAGACUGGGAUAACUUCGGGAAACCGGAGCUAAUACCGGAUAAUAUAUUGAACCGCAUGGUUCAAUAGUGAAAGACGGUUUUGCUGUCACUUAUAGAUGGAUCCGCGCCGCAUUAGCUAGUUGGUAAGGUAACGGCUUACCAAGGCAACGAUGCGUAGCCGACCUGAGAGGGUGAUCGGCCACACUGGAACUGGAACACGGUCCAGACUCCUACGGGAGGCAGAAGUAGGGAAUCUUCCGCAAUGGGCGAAAGCCUGACGGAGCAACGCCGCGUGAGUGAUGAAGGUCUUCGGAUCGUAAAACUCUGUUAUUAGGGAAGAACAAAUGUGUAAGUAACUAUGCACGUCUUGACGGUACCUAAUCAGAAAGCCACGGCUAACUACGUG
This 497-nucleotide ribosomal RNA is filed under the name uncultured bacterium. Its description in RNAcentral is "partial 16S ribosomal RNA". It matches the Rfam family "Bacterial small subunit ribosomal RNA", at positions 28 to 507 of the family's 1533-position model. The record is from RNAcentral.